CCUACGGGAGGCAGCAGUGGGGAAUAUUGGUCAAUGGGGGCAACCCUGAUCCAGCGAUGCCGCGUGAGUGAAGAAGGCCUUCGGGUCGUAAAGCUCUUUAGGUUGGGAAGAAGUGUAUUAGGUUCAUAGCCUAGUAUGUUGACGGUACCGACAGAAUAAGCACCGGCAAACUCUGUGCCAGCAGCCGCGGUAAUACAGAGGGUGCAAGCGUUAAUCGGAGUUACUGGGCGUAAAGGGCGCGUAGGCGGUUAUAUGUGUGUGGUGUGAAAGCCCCGGGCUUAACCUGGGAAGUGCAUCGCAAACUGUAUAGCUAGAGUAUAUGAGAGGGUGGCGGAAUUUCCGGUGUAGCGGUGAAAUGCGUAGAGAUUGGAAGGAACGUCAAUGGCGAAGGCAGCCACCUGGCAUAAUACUGACGCUGAGGCGCGAAAGCGUGGGGAGCGAACAGGAUUAGAUACCCUGGUAGUCCACGCUGUAAACGAUGAGUACUAAAUGUUGGUAGGGGAACCUAUCAGUAUUGAAGUUAACACGAUAAGUACUCCGCCUGGGAAGUACGGCCGCAAGGUUGAAACUCAAAGGAAUUGACGG
This 585-nucleotide ribosomal RNA is filed under the name uncultured bacterium. RNAcentral's name for it is "bacterial SSU rRNA". It matches the Rfam family "Bacterial small subunit ribosomal RNA", at positions 338 to 916 of the family's 1533-position model. The record is from RNAcentral.